This 305-nucleotide ribosomal RNA is filed under the name uncultured bacterium. Its description in RNAcentral is "bacterial SSU rRNA". It matches the Rfam family "Bacterial small subunit ribosomal RNA", at positions 338 to 640 of the family's 1533-position model. The record is from RNAcentral.
CCUACGGGGGGCAGCAGUGAGGAAUAUUGGUCAAUGGGCGGGAGCCUGAACCAGCCAAGUCGCGUGAAGGAAGAAGGUACUUAGUAUUGUAAACUUCUUUUGUCGGGGAACAAAGGCGGAGACGCGUCUCCGGAUGAGUGUACCCGAAGAAAAAGCAUCGGCUAACUCCGUGCCAGCAGCCGCGGUAAUACGUAGGGUGCGAGCGUUAAUCGGAAUUACUGGGCGUAAAGGGUGUGCAGGUGGUUUUGCAAGAUGGAUGUGAAAGCCCCGGGCUUAACCUGGGAAAGCCAUACAUGACUGCAAGA